RNAcentral lists this unclassified non-coding RNA (371 nucleotides) under uncultured Bacteroidia bacterium. RNAcentral's name for it is "contains 16S-23S intergenic spacer region". Lineage: Bacteria; Pseudomonadati; Bacteroidota; Bacteroidia. The record is from RNAcentral.
UCCGGCUUAUCACCGGCAGUUUCUUUAGAGUGCCCAACUAAAUGAUGGCAACUAAAGACGAGGGUUGCGCUCGUUGCGGGACUUAACCCAACAUCUCACGACACGAGCUGACGACAGCCAUGCAGCACCUAGUUUCUGGCCAUUGCUGGCUGACAUGUUUCCACAUCAUUCCAUAACUUUCAAGCCCAGGUAAGGUUCCUCGCGUAUCAUCGAAUUAAACCACAUGCUCCUCCGCUUGUGCGGGCCCCCGUCAAUUCCUUUGAGUUUCAACCUUGCGGUCGUACUUUCCAGGUGGAUCACUUAAUGCUUUCGCUCAGACGCGUACAGUGUAUCGCACACAUCGAGUAAUCAUCGUUUAGGGCGUGGACUAC